RNAcentral lists this ribosomal RNA (305 nucleotides) under uncultured bacterium. RNAcentral's name for it is "bacterial SSU rRNA". It matches the Rfam family "Bacterial small subunit ribosomal RNA", at positions 337 to 657 of the family's 1533-position model. The record is from RNAcentral.
UCCUACGGGAGGCAGCAGUGGGGAAUAUUGGGCAAUGGGCGCAAGCCUGACCCAGCAACGCCGCGUGAAGGAAGAAGGCUUUCGGGUUGUAAACUUCUUUUAAGGGGGACGAACAAAUGACGGUACCCCUUGAAUAAGCCACGGCUAACUACGUGCCAGCAGCCGCGGUAAUACGUAGGUGGCAAGCGUUAUCCGGAUUUAUUGGGUGUAAAGGGCGUGUAGGCGGGAGCGCAAGUCAGAUGUGAAAACUCAGGGCUCAACCCUGAGCCUGCAUUUGAAACUGUGUUUCUUGAGUGCUGGAGAGG